Molecule: ribosomal RNA, 389 nt
Filed under: uncultured soil bacterium
Lineage: Bacteria
Description: bacterial SSU rRNA
Rfam family: Bacterial small subunit ribosomal RNA
Source: RNAcentral
AGAUUGAACGCUGGCGGCAUGCCUUACACAUGCAAGUCGAACGGCAGCACGGGAGCAAUCCUGGUGGCGAGUGGCGAACGGGUGAGUAAUAUAUCGGAACGUGCCCAGUCGUGGGGGAUAACGCAGUGAAAGCUGUGCUAAUACCGCAUACGAUCUAUGGAUGAAAGCGGGGGACUCGCAAGAGCCUCGCGCGAUUGGAGCGGCCGAUAUCAGAUUAGCUAGUUGGUGGGGUAAAAGCCCACCAAGGCGACGAUCUGUAGCUGGUCUGAGAGGACGACCAGCCACACUGGAACUGAGACACGGUCCAGACUCCUACGGGAGCAGCAGUGGGGAAUUUGGACAAUGGGCGCAAGCCUGAUCCAGCAAUGCCGCGUGCAGGAUGAAAGGCC